AAGCAAUGGAACAGCAGAAGCCAAGUGGGAACUUGUGUUUGGACUGCCAGUGUCCAUGGCAACAGGCUUCUGACUGGCAUCUCCAUCUUGUUGCAGAAAGAAUCCAAGGGGACUGACCUUUGAGGCCAUUUUACAGAUGAGCAUACUGAGGAUGCAACAUGGGCAAUGCGCUCACCUGUGGCCUGAUGGAAGCCUGAGAUUUCAACUCUGAAGCCCUCUUUGCUCCGAAGUUGCUAAGACAACACCAUGGCUUAGCAGUUAAGCUAGGCUCCCUCCCAAAGCCUCACCCACACCCCCAUCCAGAGAGGAUUUCUGUCUAGCACCAGUGGAAAACAUGGAGGUUCCCUUCACUCCAGGACCUUCUUGUGAAACCUAAGAUCUUUUUUCUCUGUGUCUGAGCCUGGACAGUCCAUCUACCUGGAGAAGAAGACAGAUAAAUCCAGCCAGUGCCUACAGUUUUCUUCCACUCCCUGUCCCUGUCUUCUAAUACUUACCAAAAUAAAAGCUUGCCUUUGACCACCGUACGCAUUGAAAACGUUCACCUC
Molecule: long non-coding RNA, 545 nt
Filed under: Rattus norvegicus (Norway rat)
Lineage: Eukaryota; Metazoa; Chordata; Mammalia; Rodentia; Muridae
Description: long non-coding RNA NONRATT001709
Source: RNAcentral